Long non-coding RNA from Panicum virgatum (switchgrass), 365 nucleotides. RefSeq lists it as uncharacterized. The record is from RefSeq and is a predicted model, not a curated record. The transcript has 2 exons. NCBI's taxonomy places the organism in Eukaryota, Viridiplantae, Streptophyta, Magnoliopsida, Poales, Poaceae.
GGCUGAUGAAUGGCUUAAUGAUUUGUUAUUGUGCUACAUUGAGAAGGAAAUCUUUAGAAGCAUUGAUGCAAAAGAAAUCAAGAAUACAUUUCAAACCACAAAAAAUCGGAGAAUUGACUUGCCUAGACCACCGAGAAGACCUAGACAUGAUUAGUGGUUUCUUAAGAUGCUAGACUGCUAGUGGUUGGUUAUCUUAGUUCCUAGAUCUUGCCAUGUUGGUGUAUAUUGAAUUAAGGAAUUAUAUUGUGGUGUUCAAUAUUCUACGAUAUUUUAUUUGGAAGGUACCAUCUUUGAUCUUAAAAUGUACCGUUUAUUAACCUUUCGUAUCGUAUACGUGUGAUUUUCCUAUGAAAGUGUGAGAUAAA